CACCUUCGGAUUCGCAUGGCCUUGCGCCGGCGAAUGGUUCUUUCAAAUUUCUGGCCCUAUCAACUUUCGAGGGUAGGAUAGUGGCCUACCAUGGUGGCAACGGGUAACGGGGAAUUGGGUUCGAUUCCGGAGAGGGAGCCUGAGAAACGGCUACCACAUCCAAGGAAGGCAGCAGGCGCGCAAAUUACCCAAUCCCGAUACGGGGAGGUAGUGACAAUAAAUACUGAUACAGGGCUCUUUUGGGUCUUGUAAUUGGAAUGAGAACAAUCUAAAUCCCUUAACGAGGAACAAUUGGAGGGCAAGUCUGGUGCCAGCAGCCGCGGUAAUUCCAGCUCCAAUAGCGUAUAUUAAAGUUGUUGCAGUUAAAAAGCUCGUAGUUGAACCUUGGGCCCGUCCUGCCGGUCCGCCUCACCGCGAGUACUGGUCCGGAUGGGCCUUUCUUUCUGGGGAAUCCCAUGGCCUUCACUGGCUGUGGCGGGGAACCAGGACUUUUACUGUGAAAAAAUUAGAGUGUUCAAAGCAGGCCUUUGCUCGGAUACAUUAGCAUGGAAUAAUAGAAUAGGACGUGCGGUUCUAUUUUGUUGGUUUCUAGGACCGCCGUAAUGAUUAAUAGGGAUAGUCGGGGGCGUCAGUAUUCAGCUGUCAGAGGUGAAAUUCUUGGAUUUGCUGAAGACUAACUACUGCGAAAGCAUUCGCCAAAGGAUGUUUUCAUUAAUCAUGGGAACGAAAGUUAUGGGGAUCGAAGACGAUCAGAUACCGUCGUAGUCUUAACCCAUAAACUAUGCCCGACUAGGAUCGGGCGGGGUUUCUAUGAUGACCCGCUCGGCAACAUUACGAGAAAUCAAAGUUUUGGGAUCCUGGGGGGGAGUAAUGGAUCGGGCAAUGGACG
This 889-nucleotide ribosomal RNA is filed under the name Penicillium sp. MDU-15. Its description in RNAcentral is "SSU rRNA". It matches the Rfam family "Eukaryotic small subunit ribosomal RNA", at positions 258 to 1831 of the family's 1831-position model. Lineage: Eukaryota; Fungi; Ascomycota; Eurotiomycetes; Eurotiales; Aspergillaceae. The record is from RNAcentral.